UAAAUUGAAAAUGACCUUUUGGCACUCUCGAGGUGAGCUGGGAACUCAGACAGGUGUGGGUUGGAGGUUGCUUUGAGGGCUGAUUGUAAGGUAAGUUGGAAGCCUGAUGGACUUGUCUCUCUUUCCUCACAGAGGCUUCAGCUACUCCUGAGCCUGGGGUCUCUGUGCCAUCGAGGAGUCAAGGUUACACGUGGAUCUUGAUUGUUGCAGGGCUCCUCAGCAUCCUGGUAGCUGCAGGUUCUGUUGCUGUGUGGGGCCUGUUCAAAGCAAAAAGCCGAUCUAACACCGUCAGUCUUGAAAAAGCAUCCAGGGAACAGCUUAUGUCUGACAAGAGCCAGACAGGCUCCUUUCCCUGAAGGGGAUCUUUACACUGAGGUGACGAGGUGGGACUAGCCUGGUCUCUCUCAUGCUCACCACACAGCCUGACUGAAUUGGACAUCAGCUCUCAAAUCUGGGUUGUUACACUGAAUACCAAGAGGAUGCUCCCCUUGGAAAUAGGUCUUAGACUGUGGGACUACUUUGGCUCUGGAAAUAGCACAGGAUCUUCCCUGGCACUGUGAAAUCAGCCCUCACAAAGGUAGUAGGAAUGUCUUCAUUGUUCUGAGCUCCAGUUGUUAAUGCUGAUUCCCACUAGCGUGGCCUUGAACCCAAAGAUGUUUUUCUUUGUGAAGUGCCAGAUGCUAUUCACUGUUUUCCUUCUACUCCUAGCCAAGAACCUUUUUUUGACCUGCUCCAUUCUUCCCCCUGGAUUUUGUCAGGGAAUAGUGGCUUCCUAACCCGUUUCCAUAGGAGCUCACUGACUCUGCACAGACCAGACAGAUAUUCCAUGUUUGCACUAGUGUUUGAUGCUGCUCAGUUCCACAACAGGUGGGUUUUACUGACGGUUCUACCACAAGGUAACAGUUAAAAUCUUCCUGUUUGCUCUCACUUUGCUGUGCUGUCACCCAGGCCAGUGUGGGGCCAGGAGCUCCUCGGCCCCCAGGCAGGCAGCUCCUCACACACUCCCUCACACAAACACCUCCACUCUUUACUGACCUGCUCUGCCCACCCCGGUGCUGAAUGCUGGCUGUGGCUCCUCUAACACUGUUAAUGGUGUCUUCCUUAAAACUGUUCUGACACAAGUGAUGUCUCUUGGGGGUCCGUACUGGGACCAGUGCUAUCCCAUGUCUUCAUCAGUGGUGUGUAGAGUGGGAUCAAGGGGGACCCUCAGCCAGUGUGAGGAUGAGACCAGGCUGCAGAGUGCAGCUGGGAGAGGGGGAUGUCAUCCAGAGAGACCCUCAGGCCCACAGGAACUUCCUGAAGGUCCAUAAGGUCAAGUGCAAGGUCCUGCACCUUCAUCAGGGCAGCUGCUGGAGAAGAGACAGCUCCGUGAGACUGUGUUGUGUCUUGUCCCCGUCUAAAGGGGGGUUGUAAGAUAGAUGGAGAGAGGCUUUUCACCAAGGUCUGUAGUGACAGGGCAGGGGGCAGCAAUUACAAACUGACAGAGGUUGGGUUUAGGUGGGAGAAGGGGAAGGAAGGUCUUAUGGUGAGGGUGGUGAGGCUCCAGCACAGGUUGCCCAGGGCAGCUGUGGCUGCCCCAUUCCUGGGGCCAAGUUGGACAGGGCUCUGAGCACCUUGGUCUGGUGAAGGUGUCCUUUGAAAUAAGCCACAUCUUGGGUCAGACACUGUGUGGCACAUGGAGCUCCAGCCAAAGGGCUCAGUGCUGUGUGCCUUGGAACUGGCUGUGCAGGGGCAGAUUAGUGCCUGGUGCCCUUGGGCCACGUGCACCUUGCACAAAUGUUCACUCAGUGCACAAAGCUGCUGCCUUGGCUGCUGACCUGUGUGCCUUGAGGGUGGGAACUUGUCUUGCCAAGCAGACUCCAGUCAUCAGCCUUGGAGCAGGGAUCUUCCACUCCUGGAUAGCGUGUGAGUGCUGCCAUACCCCAUGGGAGAAACUUCUAAAUGUGGUGUGGAGUCCUGAGUUAUUCCAGGGCUGCUAUUUUUAGUACCAAGGAGUUAUUUGCAAGGGUGCACAACCUUGCUUCUGUUUCCAUAGGGCCAGGUGGGAAUAGCUGUUGUAACUGACACAGGAGAAUAAAGAAUGUGAAACCAA
Long non-coding RNA from Manacus vitellinus (golden-collared manakin), 2092 nucleotides. RefSeq lists it as uncharacterized. Lineage: Eukaryota; Metazoa; Chordata; Aves; Passeriformes; Pipridae. The record is from RefSeq and is a predicted model, not a curated record. The transcript is spliced from 3 exons.